AAUUAAUAAAGUAUGAAUUUGAUCUAAAUGAUAACUGAUAAU
This 42-nucleotide non-coding RNA is filed under the name Trypanosoma brucei brucei. Lineage: Eukaryota; Euglenozoa; Kinetoplastea; Trypanosomatida; Trypanosomatidae. The record is from RNAcentral.